RNAcentral lists this long non-coding RNA (293 nucleotides) under Mytilus galloprovincialis (Mediterranean mussel). The record is from RNAcentral. Lineage: Eukaryota; Metazoa; Mollusca; Bivalvia; Mytilida; Mytilidae.
GUUCAUAAUUCUUUAAAGUAAUAAACUUUAUUUAAAUAAAUUCGGAUCUUCCCUCAUCUGAUCACCAGCAUGGCUAAAGGUAUUACUCCCAAAGGUAUUGGAAGGGGGGUGUAAGGUGACACGUCCAGGUAUUCAAUCGAUUUCCUGUCCGGCGGGCUUGCAAGUUCAUGCAUCGUUUCACUUCUGUAGGUAUUGAUCAGUGUACACGACCGUAACUUAUAACUUUCCAUUUUGAACUAUCAGGUGCAUGUAUAAUAUACAUUUUUGUUUUGCGUGUCCGAAAGUGAUAUAAU